Molecule: ribosomal RNA, 1767 nt
Filed under: Escherichia coli ISC41
Lineage: Bacteria; Pseudomonadati; Pseudomonadota; Gammaproteobacteria; Enterobacterales; Enterobacteriaceae
Description: LSU rRNA
Rfam family: Bacterial large subunit ribosomal RNA
Source: RNAcentral
UGCGGCAGCGACACUAUGUGUUGUUGGGUAGGGGAGCGUUCUGUAAGCCUGUGAAGGUGGCCUGUGAGGGUUGCUGGAGGUAUCAGAAGUGCGAAUGCUGACAUAAGUAACGAUAAAGCGGGUGAAAAGCCCGCUCGCCGGAAGACCAAGGGUUCCUGUCCAACGUUAAUCGGGGCAGGGUGAGUCGACCCCUAAGGCGAGGCCGAAAGGCGUAGUCGAUGGGAAACAGGUUAAUAUUCCUGUACUUGGUGUUACUGCGAAGGGGGGACGGAGAAGGCUAUGUUGGCCGGGCGACGGUUGUCCCGGUUUAAGCGUGUAGGCUGGUUUUCCAGGCAAAUCCGGAAAAUCAAGGCUGAGGCGUGAUGACGAGGCACUACGGUGCUGAAGCGACAAAUGCCCUGCUUCCAGGAAAAGCCUCUAAGCAUCAGGUAACAUCAAAUCGUACCCCAAACCGACACAGGUGGUCAGGUAGAGAAUACCAAGGCGCUUGAGAGAACUCGGGUGAAGGAACUAGGCAAAAUGGUGCCGUAACUUCGGGAGAAGGCACGCUGAUAUGUAGGUGAAGCGACUUGCUCGUGGAGCUGAAAUCAGUCGAAGAUACCAGCUGGCUGCAACUGUUUAUUAAAAACACAGCACUGUGCAAACACGAAAGUGGACGUAUACGGUGUGACGCCUGCCCGGUGCCGGAAGGUUAAUUGAUGGGGUUAGCGGUAACGCGAAGCUCUUGAUCGAAGCCCCGGUAAACGGCGGCCGUAACUAUAACGGUCCUAAGGUAGCGAAAUUCCUUGUCGGGUAAGUUCCGACCUGCACGAAUGGCGUAAUGAUGGCCAGGCUGUCUCCACCCGAGACUCAGUGAAAUUGAACUCGCUGUGAAGAUGCAGUGUACCCGCGGCAAGACGGAAAGACCCCGUGAACCUUUACUAUAGCUUGACACUGAACAUUGAGCCUUGAUGUGUAGGAUAGGUGGGAGGCUUUGAAGUGUGGACGCCAGUCUGCAUGGAGCCGACCUUGAAAUACCACCCUUUAAUGUUUGAUGUUCUAACGUGGGCCCCUUACCGGGGUUGCGGACAGUGUCUGGUGGGUAGUUUGACUGGGGCGGUCUCCUCCUAAAGAGUAACGGAGGAGCACGAAGGUUGGCUAAUCCUGGUCGGACAUCAGGAGGUUAGUGCAAUGGCAUAAGCCAGCUUGACUGCGAGCGUGACGGCGCGAGCAGGUGCGAAAGCAGGUCAUAGUGAUCCGGUGGUUCUGAAUGGAAGGGCCAUCGCUCAACGGAUAAAAGGUACUCCGGGGAUAACAGGCUGAUACCGCCCAAGAGUUCAUAUCGACGGCGGUGUUUGGCACCUCGAUGUCGGCUCAUCACAUCCUGGGGCUGAAGUAGGUCCCAAGGGUAUGGCUGUUCGCCAUUUAAAGUGGUACGCGAGCUGGGUUUAGAACGUCGUGAGACAGUUCGGUCCCUAUCUGCCGUGGGCGCUGGAGAACUGAGGGGGGCUGCUCCUAGUACGAGAGGACCGGAGUGGACGCAUCACUGGUGUUCGGGUUGUCAUGCCAAUGGCACUGCCCGGUAGCUAAAUGCGGAAGAGAUAAGUGCUGAAAGCAUCUAAGCACGAAACUUGCCCCGAGAUGAGUUCUCCCUGACUCCUUGAGAGUCCUGAAGGAACGUUGAAGACGACGACGUUGAUAGGCCGGGUGUGUAAGCGCAGCGAUGCGUUGAGCUAACCGGUACUAAUGAACCGUGAGGCUUAACCUUACAACGCCGAAGAUGUUUUG